This 428-nucleotide ribosomal RNA is filed under the name uncultured prokaryote. RNAcentral describes it as "bacterial SSU rRNA". It matches the Rfam family "Bacterial small subunit ribosomal RNA", at positions 355 to 774 of the family's 1533-position model. The record is from RNAcentral.
UGAGGAAUUUUGGGCAAUGGGCGAAAGCCUGACCCAGCGACGCCGCGUGGAGGAUGAAGGCCUUCGGGUCGUAAACUCCUGUUCUGGGGGAAGAAAACGGGAUGCGUGAAUAAUUCAUCCCGCUGACGGUACCCCAGGAGAAAGCUCCGGCUAAUUACGUGCCAGCAGCCGCGGUAAUACGGAGGAUCCAAGCGUUAUCCGGAUUUAUUGGGUUUAAAGGGUGCGCAGGCGGAUCAAUAAGUCAGGGGUGAAAAAUUUCAGCUUAACUGGAAUCGUGCCUUUGAUACUGUUGGACUAGAGGAUGGUAGAGGGAGGUGGAAUUCCGGGUGUAGCGGUGGAAUGCGCAGAUAUCCGGAGGAACACCAGUGGCGAAAGCGGCCUCCUGGACCACUCCUGACACUCAGACGCGAAAGCUAGGGUAGCAAACG